GACGAACGCUGGCGGCGUGCUUAACACACGCCAGUCGAACGGAAAGGCCCUGCUUUUGUGGGGUGCUCGAGUGGCGAACGGGUGAGUAACCCGUGAGUAACCUGCCCUUGACUUUGGGAUAACUUCAGGAAACUUGGGCUAAUACCGGAUAGGAUCUCCUGCCGCAUGGUGGGGGCUGGAAAGUUUCGGCGGUUGGGGAUGGACUCGCGGCUUAUCAGCUUGUUGGUGGGGUAGUGGCUUACCAAGGCUUUGACGGGUAGCCGGCCUGAGAGGGUGACCGGCCACAUUGGGACUGAGAUACGGCCCAGACUCCUACGGGAGGCAGCAGUGGGGAAUAUUGCACAAUGGGCGGAAGCCUGAUGCAGCAACGCCGCGUGCGGGAUGACGGCCUUCGGGUUGUAAACCGCUUUCGCCUGUGACGAAGCGUGAGUGACGGUAAUGGGUAAAGAAGCACCGGCUAACUACGUG
RNAcentral lists this ribosomal RNA (468 nucleotides) under uncultured bacterium. RNAcentral's name for it is "partial 16S ribosomal RNA". It matches the Rfam family "Bacterial small subunit ribosomal RNA", at positions 28 to 507 of the family's 1533-position model. The record is from RNAcentral.